AGAGGUUGCUUUUGGCUCAGGACGAACGCUGGCGGCGUGCCUAACACAUGCAAGUCGAACGGAGAAUUUUAUUUCGGUAGAAUUCUUAGUGGCGAACGGGUGAGUAACGCGUAGGCAACCUACCCUUUAGACGGGGACAACAUUCCGAAAGGAGUGCUAAUACCGGAUGUGAUCAUCGUGCCGCAUGGCAGGAUGAAGAAAGAUGGCCUCUACGAGUAAGCUAUCGCUAAAGGAUGGGCCUGCGUCUGAUUAGCUAGUUGGUAGUGUAACGGACUACCAAGGCGAUGAUCAGUAGCCGGUCUGAGAGGAUGAACGGCCACAUUGGGACUGAGACACGGCCCAAACUCCUACGGGAGGCAGCAGUGGGGAAUCUUCCGCAAUGGACGAAAGUCUGACGGAGCAACGCCGCGUGAGUGAUGAAGGAUUUCGGUCUGUAAAGCUCUGUUGUUUAUGACGAACGUGCAGUGUGUGAACAAUGCAUUGCAAUGACGGUAGUAAACGAGGAAGCCACGGCUAACUACGUGCCAGCAGCCGCGGUAAUACGUAGGUGGCGAGCGUUGUCCGGAAUUAUUGGGCGUAAAGAGCAUGUAGGCGGCUUAAUAAGUCGAGCGUGAAAAUGCGGGGCUCAACCCCGUAUGGCGCUGGAAACUGUUAGGCUUGAGUGCAGGAGAGGAAAGGGGAAUUCCCAGUGUAGCGGUGAAAUGCGUAGAUAUUGGGAGGAACACCAGUGGCGAAGGCGCCUUUCUGGACUGUGUCUGACGCUGAGAUGCGAAAGCCAGGGUAGCGAACGGGAUUAGAUACCCCGGUAGUCCUGGCCGUAA
Molecule: ribosomal RNA, 821 nt
Filed under: uncultured bacterium
Lineage: Bacteria
Description: bacterial SSU rRNA
Rfam family: Bacterial small subunit ribosomal RNA
Source: RNAcentral